Pelobates cultripes (western spadefoot toad) is the source of this 430-nucleotide non-coding RNA. Lineage: Eukaryota; Metazoa; Chordata; Amphibia; Anura; Pelobatidae. The record is from the annotation of a GenBank genome assembly.
CUUUUGCUUGUGGUAUAUCUUUAUAAAUGGCUUGAAUCUGUGACUUAGGGAAUGGGCACUUUACAAUAUCACAGUAAUCAAAAGUGAAUGUAGCCACAUGGGUACAUGAUGAAUUAUACCAGAAAGUGUACCCACUAGCAUCUUUGGUGAUGGCCACCUGCUGGGCUUUAAGGAGGCCAACUAAGGAGAUAAUGUACCAGAGGCACAAGGUUGCAUAGAGUUAGCUUCCUCUGGGGCAGGUGUCUUCUUGCAAUGGGAAGCGUGGAUCCAGUUAGGCCUUCCGGCCAAUUUGACAGAGGUAGGGGAGAUCAGGAGAACUUGAAACGGUCCGUCAAAUCUUGGUUCCAGGGUGUGUUUUCGCACAAAUUUCUUGACCAGAACCCAGUCACCGGGGAGCAGACUGUGGUUGCCUGUGUCAGAAUCAGGAUCU